Long non-coding RNA from Acanthochromis polyacanthus (spiny chromis), 810 nucleotides. RefSeq lists it as uncharacterized. NCBI's taxonomy places the organism in Eukaryota, Metazoa, Chordata, Actinopteri, Pomacentridae. The transcript is spliced from 6 exons. The record is from RefSeq and is a predicted model, not a curated record.
CACACAGGUCCCCAGCAAUCCCUCAUUUGGAUGUUCCAUAGAUGAAUGAAUUCCAUUUGUCCUUUGCUUUGUGGACUCCAUAUCAAUAAUGUUGGGCCACUUGAGCAUCUUGAGCGAGAGAUGGAGAGCAAAGGUGACACCAGUGCUGAGGGACAUCUGAAGGGAAAGAAGAAAGUGAGGAGAGAGAUGUUAACAUGCAGCAAAAAGCCUGUAUGUUUCAACCGUGGUACAUGAUGUGCACACAACCAGCUCCUCUUGUGUCAGUCAUCCUGGUGCCCUAAAACUGUCCUAAAUGACUUAAUCUACAGGGCGACAGGACUCCAGAGAGGCUGACUCUCCAACCGUGACCUUCUACGACGAAACAGUUUGCAUAAAUGAGGCAUAAUUAGACAGAGGGAGAUGUGGCAAAGACAAAGCAGAGGUACAAGGUUCAGCUCCAUCAUCAUUAUUCCACCGCAUCCCCCGAGGAGCGAGACAGAGCCGAGGCCGGGGCCGGGGCCGGACCAGGCUGGGGGAGAAAACACUGUAGAACCAGAGCACCAGGACCUGGGAAUGCACACAAGUGAUAUUUGUGCGAGGAGAUCAAAAAACGUUUACCUUUAGAUGUUUCCCUGAUAUGAAUAUUCAACAUCCUUAUUGAAAUCUAAUUUGGGUCUCCUUGUCUCAGGGGUCUUUUCAUCAGUGCCUGUUGCCUGAGGCCACUGCUGAUUGACAGCCAAACUUUAGUAAAGAGCAAGCAGGAAAAAAGGGGAGAUCUGGUGGUGUUGGAGAUGUGAGCGGUGUGAAGCUGGGGAGAGCUGGAACAGAUGA